RNAcentral lists this ribosomal RNA (474 nucleotides) under uncultured bacterium. Its description in RNAcentral is "bacterial SSU rRNA". It matches the Rfam family "Bacterial small subunit ribosomal RNA", at positions 38 to 507 of the family's 1533-position model. The record is from RNAcentral.
GGCGGCAGGCUUAACACAUGCAAGUCGAGCGGUAGCAGAUCUAGCUUGCUAGAUGCUGACGAGCGGCGGACGGGUGAGUAACGCGUAGGAACCUGCCCAGUAGUGGGGGAUAGCCCGGGGAAACUCGGAUCAAUACCGCAUACGCUCUACGGAGGAAAGAGGGGGCUUCGGCUCUCGCUAUUGGAUGGGCCUGCGUGAGAUUAGCUAGUUGGUGAGGUAAUGGCUCACCAAGGCGACGAUCUCUAGCUGGUCUGAGAGGAUGAUCAGCCACACUGGGACUGAGACACGGCCCAGACUCCUACGGGAGGCAGCAGUGGGGAAUAUUGCACAAUGGGCGCAAGCCUGAUGCAGCCAUGCCGCGUGUGUGAAGAAGGCUUUCGGGUUGUAAAGCACUUUCAGUGGGGAGGAAGGCCUCGUAGUUAAUAGCUGCGAGGAUUGACGUUACCCACAGAAGAAGCACCGGCUAACUCCGUG